UGUUGAUGGUGGAGGAGCAGGCCCUCAGCCCUGGACUGUCCCAGGCAGGUGGGGCCUAGAGAGAAAACCACAUAAUACAAAAGACAGCUCUUCUUACACUUGUCUUGUCCUAUCCUUAGCUCUGCUUUUAGGGAGACUUCAACAUUUGAGAAAUACCCCUUCCAACAGAAUAAAACAUUUGAGUAAACAAAUAAACAAACAAACCAAAAAGUCAACUACCGUUUCAUCACACACUUACUGGUCUUUCUUAGAGAGGAAGUUAGGACUAAAAUCCACAUACCUUACACAAAUAACAGUCCAGGAAAUACACAAUGGUGUAAACUAGCAUGAUUCACAGUUUAAUAUUAAAAAAUUUAUAUAGCACACUCCAAAAGAUACAUGAUUAUUAGCUACACAGGUGAACCUGAGGAAAGGAAAGACUGUCAGCAGUGAUCCUGUGAAGGAUGCCGACGGGGCUCCUGCAGAUGCACUCACACAACAGCUUUCAGGAAAGCCUCAGGGCAAGAAGAAAUUUCUCAAUACUGCAAAUAUGCUGAACUUGUUAUUUAGAGUGAAUUUUUUCAGGUUAGCUAUAAACCUCCCAGGCCCUUCCAUUUAUUCUGAUAAAUGCACCUGGCUCCUGCUGGACUCCAGUAAACUCUGCUGGAUGGCAAACUGCAUGAUCUCAUAAUCUUCAUCUUGCAGGUGCAUGUUCCGGCCAUUGUCUUGAACAUGGUAAGAUUCCGGAAUUUCAAACACAGAUUGAUUGACCUCAAAGUUUGUGACCUGGGUAGCUGAAAGGCAACACAACAGGGGAUGCCCAAUAGUCAAAUCAAUGAACAAAAACAAUACAGAAGACUGUAAAAUCAGAAGUGAAGCUCUCUAUUCCUACACCCUUUUCUCUCACUUCCAAAUUCCACAGCUCUACUUCCAGUGAUAUCCCAAAGGUAAAUGAAAUAAUUAAUAAAAUGACUGAAUGUAAUAAAGUUUUUAAGAAUCACAAAACCCAAACUUUUCUUUUACCUGAAUCAGUCUGGGUCCCUUCCACAUUUUGAGAUACAGUUUCUUCAGCAGU
Molecule: long non-coding RNA, 1054 nt
Organism: Talpa occidentalis (Iberian mole)
Lineage: Eukaryota; Metazoa; Chordata; Mammalia; Eulipotyphla; Talpidae
Exons: 3
Source: RefSeq, a predicted model, not a curated record